UUUUAUGGUGGCUGUGUUUGGGACGCCUUCGGGUGUGCCGGGUAUGCACGAUCCUCACCGGUUGACCAACCCGAACACAGUCGCCUCCUGU
This 91-nucleotide non-coding RNA is filed under the name Pseudomonas koreensis. The record is from RNAcentral. Lineage: Bacteria; Pseudomonadati; Pseudomonadota; Gammaproteobacteria; Pseudomonadales; Pseudomonadaceae.